RNAcentral lists this ribosomal RNA (484 nucleotides) under uncultured bacterium. Its description in RNAcentral is "partial 16S ribosomal RNA". It matches the Rfam family "Bacterial small subunit ribosomal RNA", at positions 30 to 507 of the family's 1533-position model. The record is from RNAcentral.
AUUGAACGCUGGCGGCAGGCCUAACACAUGCAAGUCGAGCGGAUGAAGGGAGCUUGCUCCUGGAUUCAGCGGCGGACGGGUGAGUAAUGCCUAGGAAUCUGCCUGGUAGUGGGGGAUAACGUCCGGAAACGGGCGCUAAUACCGCAUACGUCCUGAGGGAGAAAGUGGGGGAUCUUCGGACCUCACGCUAUCAGAUGAGCCUAGGUCGGAUUAGCUAGUUGGUGGGGUAAAGGCCUACCAAGGCGACGAUCCGUAACUGGUCUGAGAGGAUGAUCAGUCACACCUGAACUGAGACACGGUCCAGACUCCUACGGGAGGCAGCAGUGGGGAAUAUUGGACAAUGGGCGAAAGCCUGAUCCAGCCAUGCCGCGUGUGUGAAGAAGGUCUUCGGAUUGUAAAGCACUUUAAGUUGGGAGGAAGGGCAGUAAGUUAAUACCUUGCUGUUUUGACGUUACCAACAGAAUAAGCACCGGCUAACUUCGUG